AGAGUUUGAUCCUGGCUCAGGACGAACGCUGGCGGCACGCCUAACACAUGCAAGUCGAACGAAGGGAAGGCAGCUUGCUGCCUGAACUUAGUGGCGGACGGGUGAGUAACACGUGAGCAACCUGCCUUCAAGAGAGGGAUAGCUUCUGGAAACGGAUGGUAAUACCUCAUAAAAUAUGGAUACCGCAUGGUAGACAUAUCAAAGGAAUAUCGCUUGGAGAUGGGCUCGCGUCUGAUUAGAUAGUUGGUGAGGUAACGGCUCACCAAGUCGACGAUCAGUAGCCGGACUGGGAGGUUGAACGGCCACAUUGGGACUGAGACACGGCCCAGACUCCUACGGGAGGCAGCAGUGAGGGAUAUUGCACAAUGGAGGGAACUCUGAUGCAGCGAUGCCGCGUGGAGGAAGAAGGUUUUCGGAUUGUAAACUCCUGUUUCGAGGAACGAAAAGAAUGACGAUACCUCGGGAGGAAGCUCCGGCUAACUACGUGCCAGCAGCCGCGGUAAUACGUAGGGAGCGAGCGUUGUCCGGAAUUACUGGGUGUAAGGGAGCGCAGGCGGGACAGCAAGUCAGAUGUGAAAACUAUGGGCUCAACCCAUAACGUGCAUUUGAAACUGCCGUUCUUGAGUGGAGUAGAGGUAAGCGGAAUUCCUAGUGUAGCGGUGAAAUGCGUAGAUAUUAGGAGGAACAUCGGUGGCGAAGGCGGCUUACUGGGCUUUUACUAACGCUGAGGCUCGAAAGCGUGGGGAGCAAACAGGAUUAGAUACCCUGGUAGUCCACGCUGUAAACGAUGAUGACUAGGU
This 800-nucleotide ribosomal RNA is filed under the name uncultured bacterium. RNAcentral describes it as "bacterial SSU rRNA". It matches the Rfam family "Bacterial small subunit ribosomal RNA", at positions 8 to 821 of the family's 1533-position model. The record is from RNAcentral.